This 506-nucleotide ribosomal RNA is filed under the name uncultured Glomeraceae. Its description in RNAcentral is "SSU rRNA". It matches the Rfam family "Eukaryotic small subunit ribosomal RNA", at positions 569 to 1078 of the family's 1831-position model. The record is from RNAcentral. Lineage: Eukaryota; Fungi; Glomeromycota; Glomeromycetes; Glomerales; Glomeraceae.
AGCAGCCGCGGUAAUUCCAGCUCCAAUAGCGUAUAUUAAAGUUGUUGCAGUUAAAAAGCUCGUAGUUGAAUUUCGGGAUUAGUGCGCUGGUCAUGCCUUUGGUAUGUACUGGUGUUACUGAUUUCUACCUUCUGAAGAACCGUUAUGUCAUUUAUUUGGUGUGGCGGGAAAUCAGGACUGUUACUUUGAAAAAAUUAGAGUGUUUAAAGCAGGCUCGCGCUUGAAUACAUUAGCAUGGAAUAAUGAAAUAGGACGUUUGACCCUAUUUUGUUGGUUUCUAGGAUCGACGUAAUGAUUAAUAGGGAUAGUUGGGGGCAUUAGUAUUCGAUUGUCAGAGGUGAAAUUCUUGGAUUUAUUGAAGACUAACUACUGCGAAAGCAUUUGCCAAGGAUGUUUUCAUUAAUCAAGAACGAAAGUUAGGGGAUCGAAGACGAUCAGAUACCGUCGUAGUCUUAACCAUAAACUACGCCGACUAGGGAUCGGAUGAUGUUAUUUUUAAUGACUCA